UACGGAGGAGGCAAGAGUUAUCCGGAAUUAUUGGGCGUAAAGCGUCCGUAGGUGGUUGACCAAGUCUGCUGUCAAAGGGUGGGGCUUAACCUCAUAAAGGCAGUGGAAACUGGUGAGCUAGAGUGCGGUAGGGGUAAGGGGAAGUCCCAGUGUAGAGGUGAAAUACGUAGAGAUUGGGAAGAACAUCGGUGGCGAAAGCGCCUUGCUGGGCCUGCACUGACACUGAGGGACGAAAGCUAGGGGAGCGAAAGGG
RNAcentral lists this ribosomal RNA (253 nucleotides) under uncultured bacterium. RNAcentral describes it as "partial 16S ribosomal RNA". It matches the Rfam family "Bacterial small subunit ribosomal RNA", at positions 524 to 776 of the family's 1533-position model. The record is from RNAcentral.